UACGUAGGGGGCAAGCGUUGUCCGGAUUUAUUGGGCGUAAAGAGCGUGUAGGCGGUUGGGUAGGUCCGUUGUGAAAACUCGAGGCUCAACCUCGAGACGCCGAUGGAAACCCCCCAGCUAGAGUCCGGAAGAGGAGAGUGGAAUUCCUGGUGUAGCGGUGAAAUGCGCAGAGUAUCGGGAAGAACACCCGUGGCGAAGGCGGUUCUCUGGGACGG
RNAcentral lists this ribosomal RNA (215 nucleotides) under uncultured bacterium. RNAcentral describes it as "partial 16S ribosomal RNA". It matches the Rfam family "Bacterial small subunit ribosomal RNA", at positions 524 to 737 of the family's 1533-position model. The record is from RNAcentral.